This 75-nucleotide transfer RNA is filed under the name Pseudomonas eucalypticola. RNAcentral's name for it is "Pseudomonas sp. NP-1 tRNA-Asn". It matches the Rfam family "tRNA". Rfam says of the family: Transfer RNA (tRNA) molecules are approximately 80 nucleotides in length. Their secondary structure includes four short double-helical elements and three loops (D, anti-codon, and T loops). Further hydrogen bonds mediate the characteristic L-shaped molecular structure. tRNAs have two regions of fundamental functional importance: the anti-codon, which is responsible for specific mRNA codon recognition, and the 3' end, to which the tRNAs corresponding amino acid is attached (by aminoacyl-tRNA synthetases). tRNAs cope with the degeneracy of the genetic code in two manners: having more than one tRNA (with a specific anti-codon) for a particular amino acid; and 'wobble' base-pairing, i.e. permitting non-standard base-pairing at the 3rd anti-codon position. The record is from RNAcentral. Lineage: Bacteria; Pseudomonadati; Pseudomonadota; Gammaproteobacteria; Pseudomonadales; Pseudomonadaceae.
UGGCAAGUAGCACAGCGGCAGUGCUCCCGGCUGUUAACCGGGUGGUCGUAGGUUCGAAUCCUGCCUUGCCAGCCA